UUUGUAGAGGAUGCUUCGGGCAAGGCCGCGGUCUAAUUUGCUUGGAACAGCGAGUCACAGAGGGUGAGAGUCCCGUCUCGGACCGUGCGCCGCGUCCAUGUGAAGCUCCUUCGACGAGUCGAGUUGUUUGGGAAUGCAGCUCUAAAUGGGUGGUAAAUUUCAUCUAAAGCUAAAUAUUGGCCAGAGACCGAUAGCGCACAAGUAGAGUGAUCGAAAGAUGAAAAGCACUUUGAAAAGAGAGUUAAACAGUAUGUGAAAUUGUUGAAAGGGAAGCGCUUGCAACCAGACUUGCGUGUGACGGUUCCCCCCGCCUUCUGGUGGGGCCACUCCGUCAUCUCCAGGCCAGCAUCGGUUUGGGUGGUCGGUCAAAGACCCCGGGAAUGUAUCUACCUCCGGGUCGACUUAUAGCCCAGGGUGCAAUGCGGCCCACCCGGACCGAGGAACGCGCUUCGGCCCGGAUGCUGGCGUAAUGGUUGUAAGCGGCCCGUCUUGAAACACGGACCAAGGAGUCUAACAUCUAUGCGAGUGUUUGGGUGUCAAACCCUUACGCGGAAUGAAAGUGAACGGAGGUAAGAACCCCGCAAGGGGCGCAUUAUCGACCGAUCCUGAUGUCUUCGGAUGGAUUUGAGUAAGAGCAUAGCUGUUGGGACCCG
Molecule: ribosomal RNA, 653 nt
Filed under: Verrucaria latebrosa
Lineage: Eukaryota; Fungi; Ascomycota; Eurotiomycetes; Verrucariales; Verrucariaceae
Description: eukaryotic LSU rRNA
Rfam family: Eukaryotic large subunit ribosomal RNA
Source: RNAcentral